RNAcentral lists this transfer RNA (75 nucleotides) under Taxidea taxus (American badger). RNAcentral describes it as "tRNA-Ser". It matches the Rfam family "tRNA". From Rfam's summary of the family: Transfer RNA (tRNA) molecules are approximately 80 nucleotides in length. Their secondary structure includes four short double-helical elements and three loops (D, anti-codon, and T loops). Lineage: Eukaryota; Metazoa; Chordata; Mammalia; Carnivora; Mustelidae. The record is from RNAcentral.
UCGAGAAAGACAUAGUGGUUAUGAUAUUGGCUUGAAACCAAUCCUAGGGGGUUCGACUCCUUCCUUUCUUACUAC